AAUAGAUACCCGGGUAGUCCACGCCGUAAACGAUGAGUGCUAAGUGUUAGAGGGUUUCCGCCCUUUAGUGCUGCAGCUAACGCAUUAAGCACUCCGCCUGGGGAGUACGGCCGCAAGGCUGAAACUCAAAGGAAUUGGCGGGGGCCCGCACAAGCGGUGGAGCAUGUGGUUUAAUUCGAAGCAACGCGAAGAACCUUACCAGGUCUUGACAUCCUCUGCCACUCCUAGAGAUAGGACGUUCCCCUUCGGGGGACAGAGUGACAGGUGGUGCAUGGUUGUCGUCAGCUCGUGUCGUGAGAUGUUGGGUUAAGUCCCGCAACGAGCGCAACCCUUGAUCUUAGUUGCCAGCAUUCAGUUGGGCACUCUAAGGUGACUGCCGGUGACAAACCGGAGGAAGGUGGGGAUGACGUCAAAUCAUCAUGCCCCUUAUGACCUGGGCUACACACGUGCUACAAUGGAUGGUACAAAGAGCUGCGAACCCGCGAGGGUAAGCCAAUCUCAUAAAGCCAUUCUCAGUUCGGAUUGU
RNAcentral lists this ribosomal RNA (526 nucleotides) under uncultured bacterium. RNAcentral describes it as "bacterial SSU rRNA". It matches the Rfam family "Bacterial small subunit ribosomal RNA", at positions 777 to 1301 of the family's 1533-position model. The record is from RNAcentral.